This is an RNA transcript of Canis lupus familiaris (dog), 4865 nucleotides long. RefSeq lists it as uncharacterized. The transcript is spliced from 5 exons. The record is from RefSeq and is a predicted model, not a curated record. Lineage: Eukaryota; Metazoa; Chordata; Mammalia; Carnivora; Canidae.
CAGGAACAACGGAAUGGACGUGGCAACCCGACAUGACCCAGAAGAGCCAGGAGGAGCCUCAAGCUUCAGUGGACCCGGAGAAACUGUCAGGUUCCCUCCUGCAGAACCUCCACCUAAAACUAUGACCAGGGCCCAGGUGGGCACCACUGGGAACAGGACUUACAACUUCCAGGGUUGCUCUGCAUCUUGAACGAACCGGUGCACACGGCAAGCGCUCAGCGAGGGUUCCCGUGAUCCUCCACGUUCGCAAGCCUGAGUCCGUGCCGAGUGGAGCAACACGGCCGGGCGCCCCACCCCGUGCCCACACCGAAAGCUCAUCUGUGAAACUCCUCAGUCACCCUGUCCCUCCUGCUAGAGUUACAUGUCCAAGUUAGAUUUUUCUUCUCUGGCAUCCACUUAACAACCCAUAGUUAUUAUUCUUUCUGGCCUAAAAUACAGUGCGGUUUGGGGAAAUUAAUGGACCCAGGCUACUUUCCCUUCUGAUGAGGUGGCAUCCCUAGCAUUUCUGGGAAACGAGGCACUGUUUUCCCAUCCAAAUGUCAUUAUGGACAUGGGACUUCGAGGUGGAUGCCACUUCCAGCCUGGGCUGCCCACCCCGCCCCCCGCCCCCCAAGCCCUCCUGGAGAGGAGAUCCUGGGAGUCCCUGAGUCCCUGCUGUCCCCCCACCCCAGCCCCACCUAAACCAAGAGCAUGAGAUCUCAGGGCUGGAAAAAACCCUCCUCCCCUUGGGUCAGAAAAAGCAUAAUGCUGACAGCAGAGGCAGGCUUCUUGCUUCAUUCUUAGAACCACCAUUUGCGGGAGUUGUCUCCUUAGCACCACUUCCUGGGGAUACAGAGUGGCGAGGGGAACCCGCCGGCCUGCAGCCACACAGGCAGGGGACAGCAAGAGGGAUCAAAACCCAUGCAAGUCCGACAGAGAAACGCUGGCAUUUACCUUGUUGCUCAGAGUCCUCCGCACGAGGCUGGAAGACCGCCUUGCUCUCGCUCUCCCUUCCUCUCCCAUCUCAGCCUGGGCUCCAGGGCGUUUGGAAUCCAACAAACCCAACUCACUUCUCACCAGUGUGACCUUGGCUCCCAAUUCCCGCUCUCUGAGCCUCAGUUUCCUUAUCUGCAGAAUGGGGGGCAAUGCAGAGCCUCCCUCAGGAGCUCGUGGUGAGAAUCUGCCAAGGCGGCAGACGCUCAGAAAAGUGCUUAGCUGGCAGGUCCUCAAUAAAUUAAGCCUAGUAUUCCCACCUGAGCCAGCAAUUCCACUCCUAGGUACAUACCCCAACGAACCGAAACCCGAUGUCCAAACGAAAACCUAUUCACGGGAGCACUAUUCGCAAUAGACAAAGGUGGGGAACCAAUGUCCACCAGCUGAUGAAUGAAUAAAAAAUGUGCUAUAUCCAUCCAAUAGACUUAUUCAGCAAUAAAAAGGAAUGGGGCUCUGAUACAUUUUGCAACGUGGAUGAGCAUGUGAAAGAAGCCAGACACAAAAAGCCACAGGCUGCGUGAUUCCAUGGAUGUGAAAUACCCAGAGGAGGCAAACCCGUAGAGAUGGAAAGUAGGAAGCUCCUGUCCUCCAUCCAAUGGUAAAACCCACCGCAGCUUGACACCUGGGAUCCCUCCGAAUCUCAGAACAGCACACCACGCUAGGACAGCUGCCCCUCCGUGGUGCCAACGAAGAAACAGGCUCAGAAAGUCGAUGGGACUAAUCCAAGCUGACAGUGGCACUUCCUGGAUGCUGCUCCUCGUCCUGGGGCAGAGCCUGGGGCCCGAGGGCUGCAGCUGGCAGAGCUCCAGGCUCGGCUCUAACUGCACAGGCCUGUGAGCGAGACAGGAUCAGACCAGGAAAGCAGAAUGAAGACACCAGGCCGUCGACCAAACUGGCUAGCGACCACGGAGCAUGUACUGCGGUGCCGGACUCCUCUCCUGCAAUGCUCCUGAUGACCCUAAGUGGCAGGGCUGCGACCAUGUCUGUCACACAAAGUGGGGAGCGAGGAUUAGCACAUGCUUCAGUAUCGCUCCUGUUAGGGAGAAUGGGCAGUGAUGGACAGACACCAGACGCACGUACGGGGCACUGAGGACAUAGCAGUGAAGAAAAUAAAGCCAGAACUCUGUACAGCACCGGAGAAGGCCAGAUGCCUGGGUUUAAGUCCCAGCUCUGCCACCUACCAGUUGUGUGACCUUGGGCAAGUAGCUUGACCACUCUGAGCCCCAGUUUUAUUUUCUGAAAAAGUAAUAACAGUGCCCACCUCACGGGGUCCUGAGGAUUUCACACAUUCCUCCACGGCAAGCGCCCAGCACAGAGCCUGGUGCACACUAACUGCUCAACACGUACUGAGUAUUCUUUUUACUCUCCCCUUCUCAGCUGAGUGAGCCCAGACUCAGGGGAGUUAUGACACCUGCCCUGCAUGAAAGACUAGUCAAGGUGGAACUUGACUCCGGAUGUCCAAAGGAUUGAAGGGACCCCUUCCUCAGGAAGCGAUCCGCACUCACUCUAUUCCAGCUCAGAGGGGCCAGCUCCCCAGCCGCUUCCCUGCUCCAGGCUUUUAAUAUCAGUGUUCAAGGCCCUACAAGGACACCCUCAUGCAGUGUCCAGCGGAUCACCUGCGUCCGAACCUCCGCCAGGCUUCCUGACAACCCCCUUGGAGGAUGCUUGGAGCGGACCAGGCCAAGGUUACCUAGACCGGCCUCAAUUCCCCUCCACCCCUGCCCUCUCUCAUCUCAACCUCCAGGAGGAUGAUUUAUAUGGCACUGCGGUAAGAACAUUUGAUUCCUCAGCUCAGCCUGUCUUCCUGUCCCCCACCCCUCCCAGCUCCUGGGCCGUGAGCGGUCCAGGUACUUGCCCAGGGCCACAUGGCAGGGAGGGACAGCCAGGCUCGGGACCUGGUGCUGCCUGAGUCCACUCAGAACCUCCAGGGCUGGUUCCUGCCACAGGGCCAGGCCCCCUGAGAAGGUGGGCAGAAGAGUGGCCUCUAGGGACAGGAGGCCUGGGUCUGAGCCCAGCUCUGCCCCUUAAAUCCACGUGACUGCAGGCAAGAGUGAGCAUUUCAGAUCUCUAGGUCUCGCCUGCAAAAUGGCCCUAAGCCCAGGAGCUACCCCUGGGGUCGUGGCGAAGCUCCCAGAAGCUCGGGUGAGCUGAAGCCCACAACUAGCACUUAAUAAAAAGCCGUGCGGCAUGGCUCCGGGGCCCCAGCCUGGCCAGCGUGGCCUGGGAUGCCCACGGCGGUGAGCACUCUGCCCAGAUUAACUCACCAUCUUCGAGACGGUGCGGAGGGAGCGGAGUGCUCCUGUUACUACCUGUUUUACUGAGGAAGAAGCACAGAGAGACCUGCCUUGCCUGAGGUCACACAGCCGAGGAGGGGGAGGAGGGCAGGGGUCAGAACACACGGGCCAGGCUGGUUCCAGAGCCCACCUCUUAACCACUCUCCUGCGCCCCGCACGUAGUCGAGGCUUAUUGCUGCCCCUCCUGUUGGGAUCUGCCCAGCUUUCUGGAGUUAGGGUUCUACUCUGAGUUGGGGAGUAGGGUAGGCCCAAACUUCCCAGUGUCCCAUCCCACAUGGCCACCCUGUUGUGACCCUGCUGGAGAAACUGAGGCACAGAGAGUAUGUGCAGUGCCCAAGGUUGCACAGUCCCAGGGGUAGCUGUGGUUUCUCAGGGCAGUGUCCUCGCCCAGCUGGCAUCUCCUGGACCAGCCCCCAACACACACACACACACACACACACACACACACACUCCCCUGUGGGGCUGGGGCUGCUCCCCCCGCCCCGCCCCAAGGCUCCAUGCUGGCUGCAGGACAUUUGUUACUGUGUCAGUUCCAGCCCCCACCCUGAUGGGGGGCCAGCAGGCAGGGGGCUUCCUGGCGGCUCUGGGAGGGAGGAAUGCGCCCCCACCCCCAGCCCCAUAUGGCCUCCAUCCCGGCCCAUCUGCUUCCCAUUGCCUGACGCGGCCACUGCGGGGCCGACGGAGCCCGCCCGCAGGGGUGUGAAGUUUAUGUGGCCAGGCCUGGAGCCGGCGGUGACAGGGCCACACACGCUCACACAGACACACAUCGGACACCCCCCACCAGCCCUGAUGUGAGUGUGCAUACACAAUCCACCCUUCCAUCUGCCCCCAAAUCCACCCACGCUCUCACACUCACACCAGCACCAAAGACAUCCAACCUGAACACAGAUCUCCGUCAGAACGCACCCUGCAACCAACCCUUGACUGACACACACACACACAUACACACAUACACUCAACAAUCCAUUCCCAUAAUGGACCCCCCACACACAAACCCACUUACAAAUGUACACACAGACUCACACAUCCAAUCACACUAGGCUCCUCCACCGACGUGCAAACAGCUGCACCAUCCUGAAUCGUGCCCCCUCAACACACACACACACACACACCCCUGCCCCCACCAGAUGACACAAACUCGAAACAGUGACUUAUACACAGGCCCUGGUCCCAGAGAGGCUGCCAGAUACAGAGUGGAUGCUCCCGUCUCUCAGAGCCCCAUUCCCACCCCCGCAUCUCCUGCAGCCCCCAAAACUGGGAGCUGCUCUCCAGGGCCCAGGCUCCUCUGCCAGCCAUCUGCCACUUGCAACCCUGGCCCCUUCCCUCCCAGAGGCCAAGAGCAAAAGGCCGAGGAGCCCUGGGGGACCGGCAGUCACUGCUGAUGUGGACUCAGACCCAAAGGAUUUUGCAUCCAGUGCCUUCCUUAGAACACCUGAGGGUGUCCCUCCUGACUUACCUGGGCUCCUGGGCACCUAGACUAUUUUGGAGAGACCUCGUCACACGGCACCAGGGCCCCACAGGGCAGUUCAGGGACCCAUGAACUUGCACUGGGGAAGGAAGGUACAUCUUGAUUUCCAGUAACCUCCAGCUGAAAUCUGG